This 105-nucleotide transfer RNA is filed under the name Drosophila ananassae. It matches the Rfam family "tRNA". From Rfam's summary of the family: Transfer RNA (tRNA) molecules are approximately 80 nucleotides in length. Their secondary structure includes four short double-helical elements and three loops (D, anti-codon, and T loops). Lineage: Eukaryota; Metazoa; Arthropoda; Insecta; Diptera; Drosophilidae. The record is from Rfam by way of RNAcentral.
CCUUCGAUAGCUCAGUUGGUAGAGCGGUGGACUGUAGUGAGAAUUUCGGUGCAUCAGCACAGAGCAGGCAUCCAUAGGUCGCUGGUUCAAAUCCGGCUCGAAGGA